Non-coding RNA from Macaca mulatta (Rhesus monkey), 473 nucleotides. The record is from RefSeq and is a predicted model, not a curated record. Lineage: Eukaryota; Metazoa; Chordata; Mammalia; Primates; Cercopithecidae.
UGUUAAUCUGUAACCCUAUAGCCCCAACCCUGUGCUUGCAGGAAUGUGUGCUCCCUGUGCUUGCAGGAAUGUGUGCUGUGUUGACUCAGGGUUUAAUGGAUUCAGAGCUAUGCAGGAUGUGCUUUGUUAAAGAAGGGCUUGAAGGCAGUCUGCUUGGUAAAAGUCAUCACCGUUCUCUGAUCUCGAGUACCCAGGGACACAAACACUGCGAAAGGCCGGCCGCAGGGACCUCUGCCCGGGAAAGCCAGCCUCUCGGGGUCCACCUGACGAGAACCGCCCACAGGUGUGGAGAAGGAGGCCACCCCUUCGACUUGAACCCGGGAAGCGGAGGUGGCAGUGAGCCGAGAUCGCACCACUGCACUCCAGCCUGGGGGACGGAAAGAACGUUCCAAACCUCAAAUCACAGGAUUGCACCCUCUGGCUCCCAGCCCCUGUCCUUAAAACCCUUUCAAAACACGGUGCAUUUAGACAAA